This 252-nucleotide ribosomal RNA is filed under the name uncultured bacterium. RNAcentral describes it as "partial 16S ribosomal RNA". It matches the Rfam family "Bacterial small subunit ribosomal RNA", at positions 524 to 776 of the family's 1533-position model. The record is from RNAcentral.
UACGGAGGAUGCGAGCGUUAUCCGAAUUUAUUGGGUUUAAAGGGUGCGCAGGCGGCACGGCAAGCCGGCGGUCAAAUCGCGGGGCUCAACCCCGCCCAGCCGUCGGAACUGCCGGGCUAGAGUGGGCGAGAAGUGCGCGGAAUGCGUGGUGUAGCGGUGAAAUGCAUAGAUAUCACGCAGAACUCCGAUUGCGAAGGCAGCGCACCGGCGCCCUACUGACGCUCAGGCACGAAAGCGUGGGUAUCGAACAGG